This is a long non-coding RNA of Ornithorhynchus anatinus (platypus), 443 nucleotides long. RefSeq lists it as uncharacterized. The transcript is spliced from 3 exons. NCBI's taxonomy places the organism in Eukaryota, Metazoa, Chordata, Mammalia, Monotremata, Ornithorhynchidae. The record is from RefSeq and is a predicted model, not a curated record.
CUCACAACGCUGGGUUGAGGAGCUGUGUGGGAGGUCGUUCUGGGCUGGCUUGCAGACAUCAGUCAACAGGAGCAAGGGCUGAAAAUAUGGCAACAGUUUGAAGAUUCCUCAUUGAAGAAAAAGGAUUACUGAAAGGAAGAAAUCUUCCAAUCUGAGAGACAGAGAGAGAUGCUGUGACUUUGUGAAUCCUUUAUGAUGACAAUUUCUCACAGACUGAGGUGCCAAUCACUAAGGCCCUUUGGCAGAAGAGAUGAUGUAAGAAGAAAGCCGCUCAAAACACGGGAAAUUCUUUCUCGAUUUCUACCACCUAAGAUUCUCUGGGUCUAAAUUGAAUAGAAUCUCAGGAAAGGCUGGCUCAUCAGAAUGGAAGAACAAGGUCCUCAUUUGGGAUAAAACUUUCCUGCGUCAUUUUCUACUGAAAUAAAAGUAUCUUUAAUUUUGUA